UCGAGGAUCUUUAGCAAUGCCCGAAAGGGUGACUAUGCGACGCCGCGUGCAGGAUGAAGGCCUUCGGGUUGUAAACUGCUGUCAGGGGGGAAGAAACCUUAUUGGUUAAUAGCCGAUAAGCUGACAUCACCCCCAAAGGAAGCCACGGCUAACUCUGUGCCAGCAGCCGCGGUAAGACAGAGGUGGCAAGCGUUGUUCGGAUUCAUUGGGUGUAAAGGGCAGGUAGGCUGUUUUGUAAGUCCGGCGUGAAAUCCCAGAGCUCAACUCUGGAACUGCGUUGGAAACUACAUGACUUGAGUAUCGGAGAGGUUAGGGGAAUUCUCGGUGUAAGGGUGAAAUCUGUAGAUAUCGAGAGGAACACCAGUGGCGAAGGCGCCUAACUGGCCGAUUACUGACGCUGAGCUGCGAAAGCAAGGGGAGCAAACAGGAUUAGAUACCCCUGUAGUCC
RNAcentral lists this ribosomal RNA (448 nucleotides) under uncultured bacterium. RNAcentral describes it as "bacterial SSU rRNA". It matches the Rfam family "Bacterial small subunit ribosomal RNA", at positions 355 to 796 of the family's 1533-position model. The record is from RNAcentral.